This 326-nucleotide small nuclear RNA is filed under the name Phaethon lepturus (White-tailed tropicbird). RNAcentral describes it as "7SK RNA". It matches the Rfam family "7SK RNA". Rfam says of the family: 7SK was discovered as an abundant small nuclear RNA in the mid-70s but a possible function has only recently been suggested. The record is from Rfam by way of RNAcentral. Lineage: Eukaryota; Metazoa; Chordata; Aves; Phaethontiformes; Phaethontidae.
GGAUGUGAGGGUGAUCUGGCUGUGACAUGUGUCACCCCAUUGAUCGCCAGGGUUGAUUCGGCUGAUCUGACUGGCUAGACGGGUGUCCCCUUCCUCCCUCACCACUCCAUGUGUGUCCCUCCCAAAGCUGUGCGCUCGGUCGAAGAGGACGACCUUCCCCGAUAGAGGCGUACCAUUCAUCGGUCAAGGGUAUAUGGUAGCUGCGUUCCCAUGCUAGAACCUCCAAACAAGCUCAAGAUCCAUUUGAGGAGAACGUAGGGUAGUCAAGCUUCCAAGACUGCAGACACAUCCAAGUGAGGCACUGCAUGGGGCAGUCUGCCAUUGUU